GCAAGUCGAGCGAUGGGGCUCCUUCGGGAGUACAUCAGCGGCGAACGGGUGAGUAACACGUGGGUGACUUGCCCCGAAGAUGGGGAUAACCUCUGGAAACGGGGGCUAAUACCCAAUGUGCUCGGUGAUUCGGUUCAUCGAGUAAAGCUCCGGCGCUUCGGGAGAGGCCUGCGGCCCAUCAGCUAGUUGGUAGGGUAACGGCCUACCAAGGCAGAGACGGGUAGGGGGCGUGAGAGCGCGGACCCCCACACUGGCACUGAGAUACGGGCCAGACUCCUACGGGAGGCAGCAGUAAGGGAUAUUGCGCAAUAGACGAAAGUCAGACGCAGCGACGCCGCGUGGGCGAUGAAGGCCUUCGGGUUGUAAAGCCCUUUUAUGGGGGAAGAGAAAAAGGACGGUACCCCAGGAAUAAGUCCCGGCUAACUACGUGCCGGCAGCCGCGGUAAAACGUAGGGGACAAGCGUUAUCCGGAUUCACUGGGCGUAAAGAGCGUUGAGGCGGUUCCGUAAGUUGGGCGUGAAAGCUCCGGGCUUAACUCGGAGAUGUCGUUCAAUACUGCGGGGCUUGAGGACAGCAGAGGAAGGUGGAAUUCCCGGUGUAGUGGUGAAAUGCGUAGAUAUCGGGAGGAACACCCGUGGCGAAGGCGGCCUUCUGGGCUGUUCCUGACGCUGAAGGCGAAAGCUAGGGGAGCGAACGGGAUUAGAUACCCCGGUAGUCCUAGCUGUAAACGAUGGAUGCUGGGUGUGGGGGGUGUAAAUUCCCUCUGUGCCGAAGCAAACGCGUUAAGCAUCCCGCCUGGGGACUACGUCCGCAAGGCUAAAACUCAAACGAAUUGACGGGGGCCCGCACAAGCAGCGGAGCGUGUGGUUUAAUUCGAUGCUACACGAAGAACCUUACCUGGGUUUGACAUGCACGUGGUAGGGAACCGAAAGGGGACCGACCUUCGGGAGCGUGCACAGGUGCUGCAUGGCUGUCGUCAGCUCGUGCCGUGAGGUGUCGGGUUAAGUCCCGUAACGAGCGGCAACCCUUGCCCUUAGUUACAAGUGUCUAAGGGGACUGCC
This 1061-nucleotide ribosomal RNA is filed under the name uncultured organism. Its description in RNAcentral is "bacterial SSU rRNA". It matches the Rfam family "Bacterial small subunit ribosomal RNA", at positions 57 to 1153 of the family's 1533-position model. The record is from RNAcentral.